CAGUGCUUUAGGCUCUCGUAAACUUUAUUUAAAAUUAAGAUUCCCUUUGCAGUAUUUGGGUUGGGGUGUGCGCAAGACAACUUGUGAUUGGUCAAUUGCGAAUUUGGUUUUGGUAAAUCUGUCAACACUGAUGUGUUCGUCUCAUAAUUACCUUGUAGCUGGAGUUACGGCAUUGUCUUGUAUGAGAUUUUCACUUUAGGUGGAAGACCUUACGAUAGAAUGACUGGAGAAGAAGUUUAUAACUUCGUGGCAAGUGGUCACAGAUUACCAAGGACUCCAGCCAUGAGCUCGGAAUUGUAUAAUCUUAUGCUGCAGUGUUGGCACGAGGAACCAUCCAAGAGACCAGCAUUUGGCUCGAUCGCGUCUUGGACAGAAACUGUUGCGCAGGACUACUGAUACCACGGAAAAGAUAUCUUUGUGCCACGACGUUAUGUGGAUUUUGAACUGUAACGUGUCACUUAAAGAGCUUCGUCAAGGAUGGAAAAAAAAAUUCACCCUAAAAUUUUCAAAUUUGCAUCUGUAACAUAUAUAAUCCGUCUCAAAGUUGUCAAGACUUAAAGGUCGGCACACACACACGAGGGGACUCGUCCCUGCAACUAGUCUCCUGAAGAGUUUACACAAAGGGACU
This 628-nucleotide long non-coding RNA is filed under the name Orbicella faveolata. Its description in RNAcentral is "uncharacterized LOC110043513". Lineage: Eukaryota; Metazoa; Cnidaria; Anthozoa; Scleractinia; Merulinidae. The record is from RNAcentral.